UACGUAGGUGGCAAGCGUUGUCCGGAUUUAUUGGGCGUAAAGCGCGCGCAGGUGGUUCCUUAAGUCUGAUGUGAAAGCCCCCGGCUCAACCGGGGAGGGUCAGUGGAAACUGGGGAACUUGAGUGCAGAAGAGGAUAGUGGAAUUCCAAGUGUAGCGGUGAAAUGCGUAGAGAUAUGGAGGAACACCAGUGGCGAAGGCGACUAUCUGGUCUGUAACUGACACUGAGGCGCGAAAGCGUGGGGAGCAAACAGG
Molecule: ribosomal RNA, 253 nt
Filed under: uncultured Solibacillus sp.
Lineage: Bacteria; Bacillati; Bacillota; Bacilli; Caryophanales; Caryophanaceae
Description: partial 16S ribosomal RNA
Rfam family: Bacterial small subunit ribosomal RNA
Source: RNAcentral